Molecule: long non-coding RNA, 326 nt
Filed under: Homo sapiens (human)
Lineage: Eukaryota; Metazoa; Chordata; Mammalia; Primates; Hominidae
Description: HSALNT0221545
Source: RNAcentral
UAAAUUAACCAAGUGACAGUUUGUGCAUCAGUCUCACAAUGGCUGUCACAUGAAAUGAGGGCAGAAGAGGGUGAAGUACCACAAAACUUAGUUGAUCAGGGGCUGUUGAGCAACUCUAGGAAAUCUCAGAGAGGCCACCACUCCACCCUGGCGCUGGCCACCCCUGCUCGCUCGCUGCUGCCUCCUCGAGGGCACUCUUCCUUGGACAGUGCCUGCAGCAGGGGACUGGGCUGGGGUGCUUUGGAGGUACUGGAAGGCACUCUGGCGGCCUACUUGCCUCUCUACACAGUUGAAGGUGAGGGCUACUCCCACAUUGCUCUUCAUGA